UUUUUUUUUAGCAUUUAUUAAACAUGUAUUAAGAGUUUGCUGCUCUUCAGUACAAAGCGCAGAUAAUCGGUGCAGGCUGACAGUGAUAAACGAGCUGUUCGCUGCAUUAAUGUAUUUAUUUAUUAUUCCAUAUGUGCUUAAUUUAAUGAUGUUGUCCUGUUAAUAAUUAGUGUUAUCACACACACACAUACACCCAGAGCAGCAGCCACGGUAGUCAUAUUGGAGUGAAAGCUGGAGCUUCCGCCUUGUUUCAGAUUUUCUUGAAAUCGCCCAUCCAUCAUCUCUGCCGCCAUCAAUCGAAUAAUACGAGACAACUGCAAUUUCGUCUCGUAUCGAACCACAGAUACGUGACCUGCUCCACGAACCGCUGCUGCGGCCUCAGCUGCUUUCUCCUUAGGCCCGCUGUUCAAGUAAAACACAAAGCUCUGCUCCGUGCUCGUUUUUGCUUUCCUCCGUAAAGUCUUUAUUUACUUUUAGUGCAGAUUUGUUGUCCGUGAUUUGGUGCUACAAAAUGAUUUUAAACAUUGUCAGGAAUUCAACUCACAACCAUCAUCUCAUAUUCCGUCAUCCAGAUCCUUCCAUCCAGGAGUCUAAAAACUGUGAGAUGUCAAACAGAAGAAAGAAAUGCAGAAACAAACAAUCACAGAGUUUUCUUACAAAAUCUUGCUUUGAGCUUGGCUACAAAACGUGUCCGUGAGAAGAGCUGCAGUCUAACGUCUAACAGAUCACAAGCACGAAUAUGGACUGAAAGAGCCAAACAAAGAGCACAAAUCUCUACAGCACAAUCGAGUUCCCAUCGUUUUAGAAACAUAUGGGUUUUUUCUCAUCAAGGUGUGUGUGUGUGUGUGUGUGUGUGUGUGUGUGUGUGUGUGUGUGUGUGUGUGUGUGUGUGUGUGUGUGUGUGUGGUUUUCGUUGUACAGUUUUUUUUAAGAGGUGGUCAAAAGGUAGGGGUGUGUGUGUUGGGGAGGGUGGACAGGAAAAACAAAGAAGUCUGUCUUUGUAGAAAAAUAAAUAAAUAAUUUAAAAUGAAACAGAGGAUAUGUUUGGUUCUUCCUCUCUAUAGUCAUUGCUCUUCUAAUUUCCUGUGCAGACGCAAAGCUCCUCAGCUCACAUCAAAAAUCUGUGGGCUGAGUUGAUGACACGUUUCCGUGGUGAUCCUCCACAGGCGCACGCAGGACGUGGGAGUGGUACUGUCAGGUAGAUGUACGGUCAGAAGUGUGACUUGUCAACAGAUCUGUGCAGCCAGAAGGAGAUCCCUGAGCCAACCAUGAAGGCCUGGACACAAAGAAAGGAGAUGAGUCCACAGCUGCUCUGACCCACUGACCCACAACAUGUCCUGUCUCUGAAAAAACACUUUAAUGUAGAUCUUGCUCUAAGACAUGCCAUAGAAACUGUCUCUUAUCUGAUCAUAUCCUAAUAACAUUUACAUUUACAAUGAUAGACUACACAGCAUUGGCAAGUAGGCUUCAUCACAGCAGAUUUUAACCAUUAGAGGAAAAGUUACUCAUAAUCAUCUCACAGAUGUAACGGUAUGUACGGUUACUUUCAGUACCAAUUAGAAAUUAGAAAUAUCCUGUCUCAGAGUGACGCUGAAAAACUAGUUGAUGCAUUUAGUACUUCUAGGCUGGACUACUGUAAUUCAUUAUUGUCAGGAAGUCCUAAAAACUCACUGAAAGCCUUCAGUUAAUCCAAAAUACUGCAGCAAGAGUCCUGACAGGGACUAGAAAGAGAGAGCAGAUUUCUCCAGUAUUGGCUUCCCUUCAUUGGCUCCCAGAAUUGCAUUAAAAUCCUGCUCCUCACAUACAACGUCUUAAAAGAUCAGGGCUCAUCUUAUUCUAUUGACGUUGCUGUACCAUAUCACCCAAUUAGAGCACUCAGACUGCAGGCUUAUUUGUGGUUCCUAGAGUAUUUAAAAGUAGAAUGGGAGGCAGAGCCUUCAGUUUUCAGGCCCCUCUUCUAUGGAACCAGCUUCCGGUUUGGAUUCUGGUUUUUGAAUAUUCUUCGAUUUUGUGUUUUUCAUGGUUUAGUAAUUUGUAUUUCUUUCUUCUUUAGUUAUUCUCUUUUUAUAUUUUGUGGUUUCUACUUCUUAGGUUUCACUACUCCUCUGUGGUCCAUGUAUCAUGUCAAGUUAAUUAUGUUCUGUUCCCCAGUUCCAGUGUCGCGUCUGUGUCUCAGCAUGUUUCCUGUUUUAUUAUGAUAGUCCCUCGUCUUGUGUUUAGUGUGUUCAGUUUUGCUUCCUCCCUGUCCCAUUGCUUCUGAUAAGCCACAGCUGUGUUUCCCUCCUGUUUCCCAUCCCCUCAUUAUCAGUGUGUAUUUAGUCCUCUGUUCUCCUCUGUCUGUUGUUGGUCCAUCUGCUUGUCUUCCCUCAUGUUUCCCCAAGACCCAGGUUUUAUUUUUCAGGUUCUUGUAUUGUUUUUCUAUGCAUCUCGUGCUUUUGUGUUUAGCUUCUCCCAGUUUAGGUUUUGUUAGUUCUAUCUCAUUCUUCCCUCACUUUAGUUUGUUUGCGUAGACCUCAGCAGAUGUGACACAGAUACCACAACUUUUAAGAUUAGGCUUAAAACACUCCUUUUUGCUAAAAAAUAUAAUUAGGGCUGGAUCAGGUGACCCUGAAUCCUCCCUUAGUUAUGCUACAAUUCCCUGCUAGGCCCACAUCCUCAUUUUCGACAGCAUUUUUUUUAGUAGAUAAAGGUGAAUGGCUUAAACAUGAAUUGAGCUGCCGUUUGGGGAAGGCCUCGGAGGGGACUGGUGGUGGCUCCUGGGCCUGGCAGAUCCCCAAUGAAGGCAUCUCGCAUGAGAAGCAGUAAUAACUGUGAUAAUAAUUACUAAUAACAGUAAUAAUAACUAUUCAUACUGUGCGGUAUGAAGGCCAAAGACCUCUGCAGUAAUAUCACUGGUAGGCAUAGCGCAGAUAAGCAGCCCGUGGCCUCAAUAAGGUUGUCGAGGAUUCCAUAGAGUGGAGCGGAUGGGCUCAGAAAAAUCGGGAAGAAAUGGUGGGAGAGGAGAUCAAAGAAAAUUUCAGACAAUGAAAG
Astatotilapia calliptera (eastern happy) is the source of this 3030-nucleotide long non-coding RNA. The record is from Ensembl. Lineage: Eukaryota; Metazoa; Chordata; Actinopteri; Cichliformes; Cichlidae.